Molecule: ribosomal RNA, 1944 nt
Filed under: human gut metagenome
Description: bacterial LSU rRNA
Rfam family: Bacterial large subunit ribosomal RNA
Source: RNAcentral
UCAAGGAAGAAAGGGCGUACGGAGAAUGCCUGGGCACAGAGAGGCGAUGAAGGACGCAGCGAACAGCGAAAUGCGGCGGCGAGCGGUAAGCACGCGAUGACCCGCCGAUAUCCGAAUGGGGAAACCCCUCCGCUUUCGAAGCGGAGACCGCAUGACGACCGUCAUGACGGGGCAAUACGCAGGGAACUGAAACAUCUAAGUACCUGCAGGAAGAGAAAGAGAAGUCGAUUCCGUAAGUAGCGGCGAGCGAAAGCGGAGGAGCCCAAACCGGACAUAGUCCGGGGUUGUAGGACCGCCGAGAAAGAUGACAUGAAGAGUCAGGAGAAUCCCAUGGGAAGGGGAUCCGCAGAGGGUGAGAGACCCGUAUCCGAAGGCUCGACAUGGAUCGAGGCGGCACCUGAGUACGGCGGGGCACGUGGAAUCCUGCCGGAAUCAUCGGGGACCAUCCCGAAAGGCUAAACACUACUCUGUGACCGAUAGCGAACCAGUACCGUGAGGGAAAGGUGAAAAGAACCCCGGGAGGGGAGUGAAAGAGAACCUGAAACCGCAUGCCCACAAGAAGUCAGAGCCCGUCAAAGGGUGAUGGCGUGCCUUUUGUAGAAUGAGCCGGCGAGUCACGAUCAGCAGGCGAGGUUAAGCAGGAGAUGCGGAGCCGCAGCGAAAGCGAGUCUUAACAGGGCGACAUAGUCUGAGGUCGUGGACCCGAAACCGGGUGAUCUAGCCAUGAGCAGGUUGAAGUCGGGGUGAGACCCGAUGGAGGACCGAACCGACCCCCGUUGAAACGUUGGCGGAUGACUUGUGGCUAGGGGUGAAAUUCCAAUCGAACCCGGAGAUAGCUGGUUCUCCCCGAAAUAGCUUUAGGGCUAGCGUCGCAGCGAGAGAGCCGUGAAGGUAGAGCACUGAAUAUGCGAUGGCCGCAUCCCGCGGUACUGAGCAUAAUCAAACUCCGAAUGUCACGGUGUCAUCUGCGGCAGUCAGACGGCGAGUGAUAAGGUCCGUCGUCAAGAGGGAAACAGCCCAGACCAUCAGCUAAGGUCCCAAAGUGCAUGCUAAGUGGAAAAGGAAGUGGAGACGUGCAGACAACUAGGAGGUUGGCUCAGAAGCAGCCAUCCUUCAAAGAGUGCGUAACAGCUCACUAGUCGAAUGACUCUGCGCCGAUAAUUUACCGGGGCUAAGCAUGACACCGAAGCUAUGGACAGGAAUGUGGUAGGGGAGCAUUGCAUGCAGCGGAGAAGCAUGACCGAGAGGGCAUGUGGAGCGCAUGGAAGAGAGAAUGCCGGCGUGAGUAGCGGCACGUGGGUGAGAAUCCCACGCACCGAUGGCCCAAGGUCUCCAGAGGAAGGCUCGUCCUCUCUGGGAUAGUCGGGACCUAAGGCGAGGCCGAAAGGCGUAGCCGAUGGACGACGGGUGGAUAUUCCCGUACCCGAUGUGUGGCGAUGGAGUGACGGAGAAGGCUCAGGCAACCAGCUGCUGGAAUAGCUGGGGCAAGCGAGAUACCUGCGCACCAGGGAAAUCCGGUGCGCGCAGGGGGAAGGCGCGAAGCAUACGGAAAGCUGCGGCAAGUACGGAAAAGCUGAGAGCAGGCUUCCAGGAAAAGCUUCUAGCACAACACACAUCGGCCCGUACCGAAAAUGGACACACAUGGGCAAGGAGAGAAUCCUGAGGUGAGCGAGAGAACUAUAGCUAAGGAACUCUGCAAAAUGACCCCGUAACUUAGGGAGAAGGGGUGCUCCAGAAAUGGAGCCGCAGUAAAACGGCCCAAGCGACUGUUUACCAAAAACACAGCUCUCUGCGAAGGCGCAAGCCGAAGUAUAGGGGGUGACGCCUGCCCGGUGCUGGAAGGUCAAGGGGAGCUGUCAGCGCAAGCGAAGCAGCGAGCCGAAGCCCCAGUAAACGGCGGCCGUAACUAUAACGGUCCUAAGGUAGCGAAAUUCCUUGUCGGGU